Molecule: transfer RNA, 87 nt
Filed under: Magnetococcus marinus MC-1
Lineage: Bacteria; Pseudomonadati; Pseudomonadota; Magnetococcia; Magnetococcales; Magnetococcaceae
Description: Magnetococcus sp. MC-1 tRNA
Rfam family: tRNA
About the family: Transfer RNA (tRNA) molecules are approximately 80 nucleotides in length.
Source: Rfam by way of RNAcentral
GGAAGGGUGGCAGAGCCCGGUUGAAUGCACUGGUCUUGAAAACCAGCGACCCGCAAGGGUCCGUGGGUUCGAAUCCCACCCCUUCCG